This 395-nucleotide ribosomal RNA is filed under the name Paenibacillus sp. RNAcentral's name for it is "bacterial SSU rRNA". It matches the Rfam family "Bacterial small subunit ribosomal RNA", at positions 197 to 578 of the family's 1533-position model. The record is from RNAcentral. Lineage: Bacteria; Bacillati; Bacillota; Bacilli; Caryophanales; Paenibacillaceae.
AUCAUGAAACACGGAGCAAUCUGUGGCUUACAGAUGGGCCUGCGGCGCAUUAGCUAGUUGGUAGGGUAACGGCCUACCAAGGCGACGAUGCGUAGCCGACCUGAGAGGGUGAACGGCCACACUGGGACUGAGACACGGCCCAGACUCCUACGGGAGGCAGCAGUAGGGAAUCUUCCGCAAUGGACGCAAGUCUGACGGAGCAACGCCGCGUGAGUGAUGAAGGUUUUCGGAUCGUAAAGCUCUGUUGCCCUAGACGAACAGCAAGGAGAGUAACUGCUCUUUGUGUGACGGUAUAGGAGAAGAAAGCCCCGGCUAACUACGUGCCAGCAGCCGCGGUAAUACGUAGGGGGCAAGCGUUGUCCGGAAUUAUUGGGGCGUAAAGCGCGCGCAGGCGG